RNA transcript from Aegilops tauschii subsp. strangulata, 3443 nucleotides. RefSeq lists it as uncharacterized. The record is from RefSeq and is a predicted model, not a curated record. NCBI's taxonomy places the organism in Eukaryota, Viridiplantae, Streptophyta, Magnoliopsida, Poales, Poaceae.
CCCUAAAAUUCCUCCCCUUUUCCCAUCCAUCUCUUCUCCGCCGCUGCCACCCACUCACCAUCUACAUCGGGAUCCUCCCGAUCCAUCCAACCACCUACCUCCUCGUCUUGCACACCCAGCCAGCCACCGCCCGAUCCAGUCGGGGGCCUCGAUUCGGGGUGUCCCGCCCUCGCCUCAUGCCCGAGCCACUGUCCAGGAGCUCCUCCCUCACCACCAACCCUGCCGGCAACCUCGACCAAGGUAGCCAUGGCCUCUGCUUCCCCUGCGUCCCUGCUGAAGCCCGCGCCAAGGCCAGCGCUCAGCCUCUGCUUCGUCUCGACCGCGCCCAAGGCCCCGAGCGCUCGAGCUCCCUUGCCAGGAGGCCGCCGCACCUCGCAGGAGCUCCGACCAACCCCGACGCUGGCGACCUCCAGGAGACCCCAUGGACGUCCGAACCACCUAGACCUCGAAGCUCUAGCAGCAUCUCUCGUCGCGUGGCCGUCCAUGCUCGCGUUGGCCAGAUCCAGAGGUCCGCCGCCCCUCGCCGUUCCGGCCGUCCAGAACCUCCUUCGUGCACCCAGGCCCGUCCAGACACCAGCGGCAUCGCAGUCCCGCGCCCCUGCUUCCCUUCGUCCCCAGCUUCAGGUCGAGCAGCGCUUGCUGCCUCGAGCGCGUUGGCCAGGUCGACCGCACCCGCGUGCACGCAGUGCUGCAGCCAGCCUGCUUCCGCCAAGGCCCAGCCCAGCACCGCUUCCUCCUCAACCGGCCUACCUCCUUCACCGACUGGGCCAAGAGAUCAUGGGGGCGUCACAACAGAAGCUUUAACAUCUACUCCCUCCGUUCGGAAUUACUUGUCUUGGAAAUGAAUGUAUCUAGAACUAAAAUACGUGUAGAUACGUCCAUUUCUGCGACGAGUAAUUUCGAACAGAGGGAGUAUAUUGGAGCUCGCCGGAGUCGGGCGACGGCAGACGGACGCUGGAGACGCAGGGGGCCGGAGCCGGGCGACACCAACCAGGCCACGGGUGGCGUACGAACGAGGGCUUCACCACUAGCCUGGAGAAUGGGGAGAAAGAGGAGGAGAUGCGGUCGUCGGCACGGUGCUGAACCAUCGACCCAACAGUAAGAUGAGUAUGUAUCGUGCAAGAGGAGAUCCUCAUCUACAGCCCACGUCUUGCCAGCCAAUGUGACACAUCUGGUGUACCCAAGGCCGUCCACAUGCGUAAUCAUUUUCAUGUGGGGAUUAAAGUGAUAUGGAAGUUCCAGGCUAAUAGGCUGCCAUCUGCCUCAACAGCUAACAACGCCUCCAUUCCAGACCUUCAAAACCUCGAGCAUCCCCCGUCCAAGGCGUCCCCAACCGGCAGUAAGCAAUCACUUGUUUUCUACCCCAAUAUUGUGUUUGUCUGUCUAAAUGAUUGGCUCUAUGAGAAGUUGCAUUGGAUGAAUUCGUGCUCCAUGAUUAUGGUGGCGAUUUCUGUAUGCAAUUUCUCUGAUUCAUGCUCGAGUGUUGUGGGCCUAUGAACUGGGGGUUCGGGUCAAUUUACAUGGCCUACCCAUUUCUUCAAAACUUUUCACUGCUCGAACUGUAUAGAGUGAAUUGUAGCACAUAUGUGAGCAAAAUCAUGAGGCCAUGAUGGUACAUAUUUGAUACAAUACGUAUGUUUUGCCUUCGUCAAAGUUCUCGGACACAAAAAGCUGGUUUCUUAGUUGCCUGUUUGUAUCUCAAAUGAUUUUUGAGUUUUAUGUUCUGAUAAAAAUGCAUUGCUGUCGGUAAUUAUUCCUUCUAAGUAACCUCCUUCAUCUUCAAGCUAACAAAGGAGAAAAUGUCUCACUAUAAUGAGAAAUUGCGACAAGAGCUGGUAAGUGCUUUCACAACUGCGGCAGUUUUGAACCAAAGUUGUAUUCUAGGGUAUUAUUCUUAAAACAAAUUCCAUCAUUUCUUUAUUUCUUAACCAUUAAUCUCAAUGAGUUGUUUAUAGCUGUCACUGAUGUAAUGUUAAACCGAUUAUAAAAAUGGCCUUUUCUUUUACUUUCUGAUAAUGACAUGCUAAUUCAUCUUAUAUUUCUGUUUUAAGUAACUAUCUCUACAGACUAGCGUACAUUUUAUUUUAAAAACAAGGGGUCUGCCAUGAUACAACAGGUUUCUGGGUAAUUUUAUCUAUUCUACUUUUUCGAUUGAAACAUGAAUAUUUUCUUCGAACAUAUUUUUUUAUAGUCACUGGGCAUGAUAAUGAAACUUCAACUCAAUGAAAAAUGCAAGUGAGAGCACGAGGAAUAGGAAUUCAUCUGUGUAACAUAUGGUCACAUUCAUCAUGUUGAUAAGCCAGUUGAAGCGGCACCUCAUGUUCUUACUUUUCUCUAUAGCAGUAAAGCAGAUAAAGUUGGGCUUCUUCUGUGUUGUGAAGACCCAGGUUGUCACUAGGGUGUAAAAAUGCAGACUUUCUUUUAUUGGUUUAUUGAAAGCCUCGCGAUGCUUUGCUUCAGUAUACUUGCAAAUUGAAUUGUUAUAUUGCACUAUUUGGCCAAUGUGCUAAAAGAUCUGGUGAAUAUAAUUGGACCAUGGCCAGUAUGAACAUGGUAACAUGUGCCCUGCCAUACACCUAUCUGUGCAUGAUUUCUAUGUAUAUGCAUCUACAUUUCAGAUCUGGCGGGGGCUGAGAAGCCGCACGACUCACAUAUUCAACUUAAAUGAGGCUUCUUUACAAUACAUGUGGCAUGUAAUUCACAAGAUAUUUUGUGUUCUGUGCCUGCAGAUAGAAUAUGAGGGCAGGGUAAGUUCUGCCUUUUACAAUCUGCGGUUAUUUGUUCUAGGUUAGCAACAGCCUCUUUUUUCCAUGAGAGAACAAGGUAAUAAAUAAGUAGUAAUAUUAGUUAUGCUUAGAUAAGUAACUAAAAAUUAUGAUGGGAUUUAGAAUUGAGUUAUAGGAGAUUUUCAAUUUUACCCUCUUCGGUUCAGAUAAUAGCUUGUCUGUCAUAUACUCCUUUAGCAAAACACCAUCAUAUAUUUUUUCGUUGAAACAAAGCAGCUAACUCGCUUCAGUCUAAUAGUUCAUCAAGAAUCCUAAUUUGGUAAUGGUAGAUUGUAGCUUAAUUAAGAAGAUUUCCUAGAAGUCAUGUUAGGUUCUUUAGAAAAAUUAAAGUUUCCAACCCAAUUCAGUGAUUUGUGCAUGCUAACAGGGAUUCAUGCAAGCAUGCUAACAGAGAUUCAUGUCGGCAUGCUAACAGAGGAACAUGUUUUAUGAUGAGAACCAAUCAAGUUAUAGGUGCAUAUUAUCAGUGGAAAAAAUUCCUUUAUUGAAACACUAUGAAUUAUUUUUUGAUACAAUGCUCAAGGUUGGGUGUAUAUUUGUAAAAUUGAUGGUUAUUCAUUCAGCUUAGACAACAGUAUAUUGUCAUAUUUUUUUAAUCCUUUUGUUGCUAUAUUCUGCCUUACUUCUAAUAAUGUUCAUCUUUUGGUGUUACUCAUA